RNAcentral lists this ribosomal RNA (815 nucleotides) under uncultured bacterium. Its description in RNAcentral is "bacterial SSU rRNA". It matches the Rfam family "Bacterial small subunit ribosomal RNA", at positions 61 to 889 of the family's 1533-position model. The record is from RNAcentral.
GUCGAACGAAGGGAAGGGGGCUUGCCCCCUGAACUUAGUGGCGGACGGGUGUGUAACACGUGAGCAACCUGCCCUAUAGAGGGGGAUAACGUUUGGAAACGAACGCUAAUACCGCAUAACGCGCUGGGGGGACAUCCCUUUGGCGCCAAAGGAGCAAUCCGCUAUAGGAUGGGCUCGCGUCCGAUUAGAUAGUUGGCGGGGUAACGGCCCACCAAGUCGACGAUCGGUAGCCGGACUGAGAGGUUGAACGGCCACAUUGGGACUGAGACACGGCCCAGACUCCUACGGGAGGCAGCAGUGGGGGAUAUUGCACAAUGGAGGGAACUCUGAUGCAGCGACGCCGCGUGAGGGAAGAAGGUUUUCGGAUUGUAAACCUCUGUCUUCGGUGACGAAACGAGACGGUAGCCGAGGAGGAAGCCACGGCUAACUACGUGCCAGCAGCCGCGGUAAUACGUAGGUGGCAAGCGUUGUCCGGAAUUACUGGGUGUAAAGGGAGCGUAGGCGGGAAAGCAAGUUGAAUGUUUAAGGUACGGGCUCAACCUGUACAAGCGUUCAAAACUGUUUUUCUUGAGUGGAGUAGAGGUAAGCGGAAUUCCUAGUGUAGCGGUGAAAUGCGUAAAUAUUAGGAGGAACACCAGUGGCGAAGGCGGCUUACUGGGCUUUAACUGACGCUGAGGCUCGAAAGCGUGGGUAGCAAACAGGAUUAGAUACCCUGGUAGUCCACGCCGUANACGAUGAUUACUAGGUGUGGGGGGACNGACCCCUUCCGUGCCGGAGUUAACACAAUAAGUAAUCCACCUGGGGAGUACGACCGC